Molecule: unclassified non-coding RNA, 353 nt
Filed under: soil metagenome
Description: partial contains 5.8S ribosomal RNA, internal transcribed spacer 2, and large subunit ribosomal RNA
Rfam family: 5.8S ribosomal RNA (bases 1-120)
Source: RNAcentral
GAUGAAGAACGUAGCGAAACGCGAUAGUUAAUGUGAAUUGCAGAAUUCAGUGAAUCAUCGAGUCUUUGAACGCACAUUGCGACCCUCGGUAUUCCGGAGGGCAUGUCUGUUUGAGCGUCAUUUCAACACCCUCGCUUUAAGCGGUAUUGAGGCGUGGAAUCCAUAUCAAUGGAACCAAGCUUUUAAAGUUGAAGGCAAGCAGAACGAAUGUCUUGAACAAAACAUAGUAAAAUCUUCACGGUUUCUCAUGUUUGUCCUCGAUGUUACGUCUCGCCCAAACAAUUUUUUUUUAGUUUUGACCUCAGAUCAGACAAGGAUACCCGCUGAACUUAAGCAUAUCAAUAAGCGGAGGA